GUACUCGCUUCGGCGGUACAUAUACUAAAAUUGGAACAGAGAAGAUUAGCAUGGCAAGGAUGUCACGCAAAAUCGUGAAGCGUUCCACAUUUUA
RNAcentral lists this small nuclear RNA (94 nucleotides) under Cimex lectularius (bed bug). Lineage: Eukaryota; Metazoa; Arthropoda; Insecta; Hemiptera; Cimicidae. The record is from RNAcentral.